Molecule: ribosomal RNA, 550 nt
Filed under: Lecanosticta acicola
Lineage: Eukaryota; Fungi; Ascomycota; Dothideomycetes; Mycosphaerellales; Mycosphaerellaceae
Description: eukaryotic LSU rRNA
Rfam family: Eukaryotic large subunit ribosomal RNA
Source: RNAcentral
GCAUAUCAAUAAGCGGAGGAAAAGAAACCAACAGGGAUUGCCCUAGUAACGGCGAGUGAAGCGGCAACAGCUCAAAUUUGAAAUCUGGCACCAGCCCGAGUUGUAAUUUGUAGAGGAUGCUUCUGGGCAGCGGCCGUUCUAAGUUCCUUGGAACAGGACGUCAUAGAGGGUGAGAAUCCCGUAUGUGACCGGCACGUACCCUCCACGUAGCUCCUUCGACGAGUCGAGUUGUUUGGGAAUGCAGCUCUAAAUGGGAGGUAAAUUUCUUCUAAAGCUAAAUACCGGCCAGAGACCGAUAGCGCACAAGUAGAGUGAUCGAAAGAUGAAAAGCACUUUGGAAAGAGAGUUAAAAAGCACGUGAAAUUGUUGAAAGGGAAGCGCUUGCAACCAGACUUCGUGGCGGUGUUCCGCCGGUCUUCUGACCGGUCUACUCGCCGCCGCGAGGCCAGCAUCGUCUGGGGCCGCCGGAUAAGACCUUGGGAAUGUAGCUCGCCUCGGUGAGUAUUAUAGCCCAUGGUGAUACGGCGCGCCCCGGGCGAGGUCCGCGCUC